RNAcentral lists this long non-coding RNA (228 nucleotides) under Elaeis guineensis (African oil palm). RNAcentral's name for it is "long non-coding RNA (EGUI_LNC042675)". Lineage: Eukaryota; Viridiplantae; Streptophyta; Magnoliopsida; Arecales; Arecaceae. The record is from RNAcentral.
GGAGCCAAAGAUAGAAAAAUAUCGAAAGAAAAGAAAAAAAAUCUCAAAUUGGAUGACAAAAGACCUAGAAGUAGAAAAAUGCCCAAAGAAAAAGAAAAGGCCUCAAACUAGGCUGUCGAGGGGUCAAAGUUAGAAAAAGCCCAAAGAAAAGAAAAAAGCCUCAAACUAUGUGGCGUAGGAGCUAGAGAUAGCCAGUGAAACCGUAUGAUAGAGAGAAAUUUGCCAAGC